GGGGAGCUCAUAGUUUUCCAGCAUUUUUGAACACUUUUCGAAAUUUAAGAUUUUCUUCUUAAUUUUUACUCUCAAUGGAAAACAAUCACUUAGAAACUUACGAAAGCAAGUUAAUUUAUAAAACAAAUUAACAUUAUAUUUUCUUAUAUUCCCUCAUUAAUCUUCUGUCAUGCCCAGCGUGAGGUGGGAAUACACCCUAGAUGAAACACCAAGCCAUCUCAUACACAUUCACACCCAGGGGUAAUUCAGAGUCACCACCCCACUGUCCGGCAGGUUUCAGGGAGGAAACCAAGGAGAACCCAGUGGACACAGGGAGAACUUGGAGCAGACAGAAGCCGAGCUCAGGAUCACACUUAUACACUCCAGAUAGACGUUAAGAACGCCUUUGACAAAAGAAGAACGUACUGAAAUCACUCUCAUGGCUGGAUGAGGAAGCUGUUGCAAGGUUGCGAUGGACUUU
Long non-coding RNA from Ictalurus punctatus (channel catfish), 460 nucleotides. The record is from Ensembl. Lineage: Eukaryota; Metazoa; Chordata; Actinopteri; Siluriformes; Ictaluridae.